AUUAGAUGAGCCUAUAUUAGAUUAGCUAGUUGGUGGGGUAAUAGCCUACCAAGGUAAUGAUCUAUAGCUGAUCUGAGAGGAUGAUCAGCCACACUGGAACUGAGAUACGGUCCAGACUCCUACGGGAGGCAGCAGUGGGGAAUAUUGGACAAUGGGCGAAAGCCUGAUCCAGCCAUGCCGCAUGAGUGAAGAAGGCCUUUGGGUUGUAAAGCUCUUUUAGUGAGGAAGAUAAUGACGGUACUCACAGAAGAAGUCCUGGCUAACUCCGUGCCAGCAGCCGCGGUAAUACGGAGAGGGCUAGCGUUAUUCGGAAUUAUUGGGCGUAAAGGGCGCGUAGGCUGGUUAAUAAGUUAAAAGUGAAAUCCCGAGGCUUAACCUUGGAAUUGCUUUUAAAACUAUUAAUCUAGAGAUUGAAAGAGGAUAGAGAAAUUCCUGAUGUAGAGGUAAAAUUCGUAAAUAUUAGGAGGAGCACCAGUGGCGACGGCGUCUAUCUGGUUCAAAUCUGACGCUGAAGCGCGAAGGCGUGGGGAGCAAACAGGAUUAGAUACCCUGGUAGUCCACGCUGUAAACGAUGAAUGUUAAAUAUGGGGAG
Molecule: ribosomal RNA, 592 nt
Filed under: Wolbachia sp.
Lineage: Bacteria; Pseudomonadati; Pseudomonadota; Alphaproteobacteria; Rickettsiales; Anaplasmataceae
Description: bacterial SSU rRNA
Rfam family: Bacterial small subunit ribosomal RNA
Source: RNAcentral